Hemicordylus capensis (graceful crag lizard) is the source of this 3347-nucleotide long non-coding RNA. RefSeq lists it as uncharacterized. The transcript is spliced from 2 exons. The record is from RefSeq and is a predicted model, not a curated record. Lineage: Eukaryota; Metazoa; Chordata; Lepidosauria; Squamata; Cordylidae.
GCGGGGUGAGGCGAGUCUCUCAUCUUUGACCAGAAGAAGGGGGGGGGAACCGACGGAGUGUCGGGAAGGUGGGAACUCGCUGCCUGCCUUUCAUUUUUCCACCACAGGAGGAGAGAGAAGCGCCGCCUUCUCUACCGCUUGUGCGGAAGAGAAAAGGAGGGGGGGUGGAAACAGCCGCUGUCCUCCAAGGAAGGAGCCGAAAGACUGCGGCGGUGCGUCCCGUGAUGAUCUCCUUCCGUGCCUUCCUCCACCCCUCCCCCGACGGAUGCGUCGGGUGCUCCACGGCCCUGGCUGAGGUAGUAGUUUGUGCUGUUGGUCGGGUUGUGACAUUGCCCGCUGUGGAGAUAACUGCGCAAGCUACUGCCUUGCUAGUGCCGGUGAUGAUCGGCUGCAGAUGAAGACAAUGGCAGUGGGAAUCCCCUUUGUUUUCUCAGGAAUUAUCUACUAAAGAGGUGCAACAAUCUUUCUGCACAGAACGAAGCUUGCCUUGGCUACUUAGAUGUGCAUUUUCUCCCCCUUUAUGCUGCCUUCUUUUGAUAUGUGACUUUAUUUGUGGAGCCAGACUUACAAGCUGCUUAAUCUUGCGCUUUCUGGAUAUAUAUGUAUGUAUUUAAACCUUAUUGUGUAGGUUUGUUACUUUUAAAAAAAACUAUGCAAAUGGUAUCAAAAUUAUUGACUAAUUAAAGUGAACCACACAGCAUGUUGACAUCACUUGACUAUCUGUAGACAACUAGAAUAUAUUGCACAUUUUGCAACUGCUGAAUUAGACAAUAUCUCAUAAGACAAACUUCAAUCUUUGGGUGAACACACACACACAAUAUGUGUUGUUAUAUGUUAAAUUUGUAUUCUUAACUGCCUUACGCAAAUGGAUUCAGACUGUGAUGCUUAGCCUGAAGACUUUGAGGUGAUAUGGGAAGUCUGCUUGUAUGGGGCACACUUUAAUAUAUCAAAUGUAGUUAAUGUUAACUACUCUUGAGUACCCUGUGUUCCCAUAGGAAAUACUACUGCAUGUAAAUGAAUACACUUGAUAGUUCAGAAGGAAAUAAUGGGGUGGGGGGACUGAGUAGUGCUGGUUUUUAAGAUGAGAAUGCAUAAGUAUUGUUUGUAAGCAUAAUGAUAUGUUGCCAGCUGUCUUUCUCAUAAAUGAUGCUAAAAACUACUUGAUCAUUUUAAAAUCUGAACACUUUCAUUUUAAUGUUGAACAAAUGUGUCCUUAAGCCCAGUCUGAAACAAUAUAUCCCCAUAUUUCAAAGGCUUAGGGACAAGUAGUAAAAUUUAAAAUUGGACUAAAUGAUUUUUAAAAACCCAUAAAACCCUUAACUGAGUCUAAACCAUCUAAUGCUAUCCAAAUAAAAAGGUCUUGUGAAAUUUCCUUUAGUUGGGUACAGCUUUGUUUCAUAGCAGUGUGAACAAUCUUUUUGCACAGUCCAGAAUCCCAAAGCUUUACAGCUUUUUACUAUGAAAAUAUUUGUUGCAAGUUCACUGAUGAGUAAGUGAAAAACUGAAAUACGUUUUAAAGUAGCUUUUUAAUGCUAUUACUACAUUUCCUUUAAAGGAUUGUGGUUUGUUUUGUAAAUAGUCACCAUGAAAGACACAGAAUGUAAAAGGGUAAAUGUACUGACAAAUUAAUAGAAAUUUUAGAAUUAAAACUGUCAAAACAUGUAAACUCUGCAGAAAUUCCAAUUUCUUAAAUUGUUGUUGACUGGAAGACAGUAGGUCGGAUUUUGAUGAACUAAUGAAGGUUCAUUGUUCAUCAUUUAGUGGGGAGGUUGAUAACAAGAAUACUUUAUGUAUUUUUCUAGUUAGAUAUUGAAAUGUUCAUAUUUAAUGACUAAAGCCUGCAAAAUAGGAAAUGACUGAUUUUUUUUGCUUAAUAAUUAAACAUUCCAAACCACUUUUACUUAAAUCAAAUUAAGUUUAAUUAUAGUACCCUUUCUAUUAAAACUUUUUUUAAAAAGAUUUAAAUUAUAGGAUAACUGAAGAAUAAUUUGAAAUUCAUGUCUUUGCCAGGGCAUUAGAAGAGAGGAGAAGUCUGCUUUGGUGCAUCUGUGAUAAUCUUCCACUUUAAAAUGGUAGCAAAUGCUUGAUUUACUUGAGUUAAGACUUGUCCAACAUAAAAGUUGUUGUGACAUUUUAACAACACUACUGAGAACUAUGAACUAACAGUUAUUAAUGGCAUUCUAUGGGAAUGUCAAGAGUAAAACUUCAUGUAUGCUCAAAGAUAUCUUGGUAAAUUAUAAAAUAAGACCAAAGGCUUAUAAUAAAGGUCUUUACAUCUAUUUGCCCCAUUUUGUUAUAUUUGAACCUUACAAAAUUAGUUUUAAAGCAUCAGGGCACCAGUGUUCAUUUUUUCUAUAAAAAUGUAGAAUCAUUACAUAAAUAUGCUCAGGCAAGCUCAAACGUAUGUCAAAACAGUGUAGUUUAGACAUAGCAGCAGAGUCAUUUGUAGAUUCUCAUAUUUUAUUGAAAAUUUAUGAAGUUAUGUAGUUCUGCUUUUAUUUUAUCUGCUAGCAGCCACACUUAGGCAUAUACUUAGGACCCCUGGGCAAGAUUUAUGCCACAGUGGAAAUGCAAGGAAAUUCUUGGGGCAGGAUUGCCCACAAGAUUGCAGUGUGGAACAGACCUUUAAGACAAAUGCCCCUCUAUGUUGGGGGACCGGAAGGUGUGUUGGUGGGCAAGGCUUGUACAAAGCAAUAAAUGUUGAAUCAGUUGAAGUGUCAGAUGCUUUAAUUCUCAAAUGGAUAUAUUUCUACCACUGUUUUGACUCUUCUGCCCCCAAGUGCUUUCCCCUUUCCCAACUCCUUCAAUUUAAGGAGUUGUUUGUUUUUUGCUCCUGUCAAUGAGAGUGCAUUUACAGCUGAACCCUAACAAAACUUGCUACUUUAAGACAACAGUGUUUCAGUAUAGGUCCUAUAUUACAACAAAAUAAGCUCUAUGCAACUGGAAGACAAAAUUUCAUACUAAUUAAAUUACUUGAAAGGAGGCUUUUUCUAAAGUAAGAUUUUACUAGAAUUCUGUGUAUCCAGAAAAGGCUCCCCCACCCCCAUCCCGCAUACGUAACUUUCAAGAGAUGCAUUUUGUGUGUAUACCUCAGUAUAUCUUUGCAGUUAACUUAUUCUUAAAUAAGGCACUAAUAAAUACCUGGUGCUAAAUUCAGUAAAACUUCUUGCCUGUUUUCUCAUUGACCCAGUUCAAGUAGAAAUUGUUACUUCAGAUUAACAUGUUUAAGUUGCCUCCUGACUAUUCAUACAAAUAUUGUUGUAUUACUGUACUUAAAUAUAGAUGAAGUCCUUAAAGCAUUGGGGCAUUGUGGAGAUGCUAUUAAACUUUAAAUUGGUUUUAAUAAA